RNAcentral lists this ribosomal RNA (253 nucleotides) under uncultured bacterium. RNAcentral describes it as "partial 16S ribosomal RNA". It matches the Rfam family "Bacterial small subunit ribosomal RNA", at positions 524 to 776 of the family's 1533-position model. The record is from RNAcentral.
UACGAAGGGGGCUAGCGUUGCUCGGAUUUACUGGGCGUAAAGGGCGCGUAGGCGGACGAUCAAGUUGGGGGUGAAAGCCCGGGGCUCAACCUCGGAAUUGCCUUCAAAACUGAUCGUCUUGAGUAUGAGAGAGGUGUGUGGAACUCCGAGUGUAGAGGUGAAAUUCGUAGAUAUUCGGAAGAACACCAGUGGCGAAGGCGACAUACUGGCUCAUUACUGACGCUGAGGCUCGAAAGCGUGGGGAGCAAACAGG